AGUAAUCUUGGUUGGAGGUUUUUUCCUUUCAUCAUGUUAAGUAUAUUGUGCCACUCCCUUCUUGCCUUCAGAGUUCCAGCUGAAAAAUCUGCUAAUAACCUUAUUGGGAUUCCCUUUUAUGUUAUUUGUUUCUUUUCCCUAGCUUCUUUCAAUAUUUUCUCUUUGUCUUUAAUUUUGGUCAGUUUGAUUAAUAUGUGUCUCAGGGUGUUCCUCCUUGGCUUUGUUUUAUAUGGUACUCAUUGUGCUUCCUUGAUUUGAGUGAUUUGUCCCUUUCCCAUGUUAGAGAAGUUUUUGGCUAUUAUCUCUUGGAAUAUUUUUCCUAUCCCCUUCUCUCUCUCUCUCCUCCUUGUGGCACCCCUAUAAUACAGAUGUUGGUGCAUUUAACGUUGUCCCAGAGUUCUCUUAGACUUUCUUCAUUUAUUUUCAAUCUUUUUUCUCUUUUCUGUUCCAUAUUCGUAAUUUCCACUAAUCUGUUCUCCACCUUGCUUAUUCGUUCUUCUGCCUCCUGUAUUCUGCUGUGGGCUGCUUCUACUGAAAUUUUUAUUUCAGUUAUUGUGUUUUGCAUCUCUGCUUGCUCAAGUUUUAAAUCUAGUAUUUCUUUGCUCAGUGUUGCCUGUAAAUUAUCAAUUUUUUUCCCCAGUCUAUUUCCAGUGUCUUGCAUCAUCUUCAGCAUUAUCAAUCUAAAGUCUUUUUCCUGGUGGCUGAUAAUCUCCAGAUCACUUAGCUGUUUUCCUGGGGUUUUUUUCUUUCUCCCUUUUCUGAGUUAUAGUCCUCUGCCUUUUCAUUUUUAUAGAUUUUUGGUGUGGUGACCUUUUUACAGACAAUAGAGUUGCUGCCUCUCUUCUACUGUCUACCCUCCUUGUGGCUGAAGUUGGUACAGGAGCUUGCUGUAAGCUUCCUGAUGGGAGGGACUGGUGCCUGCCCACUGGUAGUUGGGGCCUAUUCCUAUCCUUCUGGUGGGUGGGGCUUUGUUCUGGGUGAGAUUAGAAGUGGCUGUGUGCCUGGCUGGGUGUUUAGGUAGCCUGUUUACUGAUAGAUGGGUCUGUGAUCCCACCUGGAUUAUUGUUUGGCCUGGGGCUUCUCAGUGCUGAUAGGUGGGACCAGAUUGUUCUAAAAUGGUCACCUCUAGAGGAACACACACUGAUGAAUACUCCUAAGACCUCUGCCUCCAAAGUCCUUCCCUGACAAUGAGCCACAGUCACCCCCUGUUUUCCCAGGAGAUCCUCCAAGAACUGUAGUCAUAUCUGCCCCAGAUUCCUAUGGAGUCUCUGCUUUGCCCUGGGACCCAUUGCCCAUGAAAACCUGUGUGUGCCUUCUAAGAAUGUGCUCUCUGUUUCCCCCAGUCCCAUGGAACUCCUGCUCACAAGCCCUGCUGAGCUUCAAUGCCAGAUGCCCUGGGGGCUCCCUCUCCCAGUGUCAGAGCCCCAGGCAUGGGGACCUGACGUGAGGCUCAGAACUCUCACUCCUGUAGGUGACUCUCUGUGAUAUAGCUACUUUCCAGUCUGUGGACUUUCUAUCCAGCAGGUAUGGGAUGGUUUAUAUCACCUAAUUGCCCCUCCUACUGUCUUGAUGUGGCCUCUUCUUUGUUAUCUGUAGUGGCAUAUCUUUUUGAAAGUUUCCAGUCCAUUUGGUUGAAGAUUCUUUGGCAUUUGGUUGUCAUUUUGUUGUUUUUAUGAGAGAAGUUGAGCUCCAGUCCUUCCCUUCUACCAUGUUAAUCCCGUCUUCCAUAUCUUUGCUAAGCUUCAAGAUGGAUGAAGAAAACUGUGAACCAAGGGAUAUGAGCAGCCUCUGAAAAGGGACAUGGCAAGGAAGUAGAUCCUUCCUAGAGUCUACAGAAAGUGCAGUCCUAUCAAAACCUUGGCUUUAGCCUGGAGAGUCUCAUGUCAGACCUCUGACCUAUAGAACUGUAACAUAUACAUCUGUGUUGUUUUAAACCACUGAGUAAGUGGCAGUUUCUCACAGCAGCCACAGAAAAUGAAUACACCAACCUGUAGUAAGUCAUGUAAAUUCAGCAGAACUAUUCAUGGAAGGAUUUAUGGCUUCUGCUCUGGAAAUUGAGCUGGUCUGCUUAUGCUGGUUAUUUCUUUUCGGACUAAAGAUUUGGAUUUAAUUCAUCUUCCUUCUCAGAUUCAUAGGUGAAAUCGUCCUUUCUUGGAGAAAAAGGAAAGAUGGGAACACAGAUAACACCUGACACAAUUUCCAAAGAUAGGCAUAAACCAAAUUUUACCACAGCCUUGCUCUCCACAAGUCUAAGGCAGCUGAAGAAGUUGAGGAAUUACUGAAAACAUUUCUCAAUAGUCCCAUAUUUCGUGAUUUAUUUAAAAUUAUGCCCCCACCCCUCCACCCUUGGACUCUCCACACCUUUAUUUCUUUGUCUUUUUCCAUGCCCAUAACAUCAUUGGAUGCAGUAUAUGUCUGGCAUUUAUUUUCUUGACCUUUUUCUCUCCUCCCAUUAAGAUACAUGCUUCAUAAAGACAGGGUUUUUUUUUUUUUUAAUUGGUUUGAUUCACUUAUGCAUUCUCAGCAUUGUCUGGCACUUAGUAGGUACUCAUUUAAUAAUUAUUGAGUGAAAAAAGAAUUGUUAGACUGUGGAGGAGUGUUGAUGAAAUAUAAGCCUUCCCCUCUGAAUUAUGUAAGUUCAAGCCCAGUGUUGGUGAUGGCACUAUUUUUUUCAGUUUUAGGAAAGGUCAAUCAAAUGGUGUUAUGCCUAAACUGUUAUGCCUGAGAGUUCAUAUUGGUUUUUUUCGCCUCUUUUGAUGCUGAAUAGCUUCCUCACCCACCACAGCCUGUCCUUUACCCCCACAUCAUUUUCUGACUAGUCAGAUCAUAUGGAAAGUUGAUGUACUGUGAAGGAUAGUACAUUUAAAUAUACUACCUAAGAGAUUCAAACUAGUUACAGUGUUUUAGCAUAGGUUUUAUACCAUUAUGUAUAAAUUACCUUCUUCUUCCAGAAAGAGGUUGUCAUGUUACCUUAGUUAUACUAUAAGUAGCACCUCUGGGAAUUCUCUGUAUAAAAGCUUCUGUUAGAGUCUGUAGGGUGGCUUUGUAUUCUCAUCUUGAUUUGAACUGUGUCCCCCUAAUUGGGCUAUUCUGCCUAAUGUAAAGGCACAUAUUCUUCCAUAAAAAGGAUUAAAAACCCGGAAACAAAUAAAAACAAGGUCAGUAAUCCCCUGGUUUUGACAGAAUCACUCUAGAUCUUGUCCAUAUUAGCUACUUUGUCAAGAGUCUAAAAUGCUCCAAAAUUUCAUCUUAAACUUUGACUACGCAUCUUACUAUUUCUUAUGUAUUACUUGUAAAUCACAAAUUGCUUUAGAUUCUCUUGUUCUAAAGAUGGUUGCUUAUGUUUCUUUCCUCAGUUGCAUUUGAGUGGAAAGUGUGGACAAGACUCCUGUCUUAACUAUCACCUCACACCUCAUCACCCUUGAAUAAAUAUAUAAUCUGGUAUAGUGCUGAUGACUAAAGCUAUUCUGGUGAUGUGGAAUAUGGAAGGAAAUUUGCCUACAAGAUCCACCAAGUUUGCAACCAAAUAUAUUCAACAACAUUACUCAGUCUUUCUGAAUUAUUAAUGAAGCAAAGCUGGAAGAUUUACCCUUACUAUCUCUAUUCGUACUUAGAUGAGAAUUUACAAGGCAGAUAAGAAUACAUGCUAUUGUUAUACUAGUGCCUGUUUUUCAUUUAUAGCCACCAUAAAGGAUAGAGAGAAUCAUCUCUGUUGCUUAUUAAAAAAUGUGAAUUCAUGGGCCUUUCCCCAUACUAACUAAAUCAAAUUCCACAAGAGUAGAACUUGGAGAAGCUGUACUUUUAAAUAAGCUUCACCUGGGAUUAUUAUGUAUUUUAAAGUUUGGGGCACUGUAUUAGAAUAUAUUGCAAUCCUUCCACUGUAAAUACUUUCAUUGGGUUGGUGACCAGUGAGUAAAUGGAUUGGUGUUAUAUAGAUGGAAAGGACUUUUAGGUGAGGAGCUCAUCUUGGUUGCCUUGGUGGCAACUCAACUGUCCCGGCCAUCGCACAUUAUUUAAUGUCCUUUGUGCUAGUACCUACUCUUCGCCUUCCUCUCCUCUGUUAAUUUAUUAUGAAUAAUAAAUUGAACUGAAAGCUCUAAUGGAUCAUACUUAACACAUGCAAGCUUUCUGUAAAUCUAAAGUGCUAAUCAAAAAUGAAAGGUUUUAUUGAAAUAGGUAGGUGAGACUUACAAUGGCAAGAGAGUCAAGGGUUAGUGGUAAUUCAUCUUGUAGCUGGCUCUGGUGUUAGAGGUUUCUCCUAGGAAUUCAGCUUCUGCCUUUUUUGUUUUUUUAAACUGUUUUAAUUAUGCAAACAGUAAAUAUUCCUUGUGAAAAGAAGUAGAGAAUGUAAUUAAAAUCAAUAAGCAUAUGUAUAUAUAAAAGAGAUCAGUCAUAAUCCCAUGAACUAGAGACAAUUGCUAACAUUUUCCUUUCUAACAAAUGAUAUACAUACCCUUCAAUAAUAUCAUUUAUAGAAUAUUUGUGACUCUUAAACCUAAAUAUAUAUACCUGAAAUUACAAUAAUAGGUGGAUUUUUUUUGACGUAGUAUCUUAUGUAUGACAUACUCUACUUUACUGGUGGCAGUAUAUUGUGGUAUUUAAGAAUACACACACUUAAGCCACAAUUGAAAAGACCAUUGUUCAAACUCUGCCAUGCCACAUGAUCAUUGUAUGCUGUUGGAUAAAUUACCAUUCUUUCCAGGCCUCAGUUUCCUCGUGUGCCAAAUAGGAAUGCACCAUCUUGAGGCUAAAAGAAAAUGAUGUUUACCACACUUGGCAUAAUUUCCGGCAUAUAGAAGACACAAUAAAUAGUAAGGCAUUAUCCAUCCUUACCUGUUGAGUCUUAAGUCAUUAUCUUUCAUCUGUAAUUUCUAAAAUAAAUGAAGACUUGAGAUAGCUCAUCUUCUUAAAUAGGCAAGCCAAGAAAAUCCCCUUGAAAUCUUUAGAACCAAUUUUGAGACACAAUUUCAUAAUAAUUUCUCGGAGGAACUUUUAGACAAAUGACCCAAGUAUGCCUGUGUAACAGUGUUGGCAAUGGCAUCAAAGAAUUGGGUUGGGCUCUUUCUUCACACACUCUAUAAAGAGACCAUAGUGAUCACUGACAGAAAACUGAAGUCGAAAUUUGCUUUUUUUUCCCUUCGAACUGUAAAAAGAGGGU
RNAcentral lists this long non-coding RNA (5158 nucleotides) under Sus scrofa (pig). RNAcentral's name for it is "lncRNA (ENSSSCG00000056572.1)". Lineage: Eukaryota; Metazoa; Chordata; Mammalia; Artiodactyla; Suidae. The record is from RNAcentral.